UGCAUCCAGCAGCUACAUUUUGUUUGGUUUGUGAAGGAGAAAAUGAAGUUCUCACACAGUGCUGCAUAAUGGGGCUUUUGCUCAGCAGUGUGUCAGCAAAUUAUCCACUGAGCUGCUUGACCUGGUAGACCUUAAGCUCACAACUCCAGAAACCUUUCGCCAGAAGAGCAUUUGUGCCAGACUGACAUUUGCUGCUCGAAGGCAAGGAAAGUCUGCUCACAAAGUUCCCACUGGCUUGCAAAACAGAAACAUCUGCAAAGUGCCUCCAGGGGCCAGCUAAGCAGAGUUCAAGAGCAAGGAAAAAGGUGGAGGCCAAAUGACUUUAUCUUAGCCAGUCACUGUCAGCAUGAAGGUGCAUCUGUGUGUAUCUGUUUGAGUCUACAGGACAGGAGAGAAUGGCAUGGUGGAGAAAGGUCUUUGUGGAGGUAUUGCUUACAUGAGUGCUCUGCUCUGCGAGGUCCAUACACUGAUCAGCUGCAGUCCUCGACAUGCGAGUGCGGAGAGGAGCAAACCACUGAUCACCUGCUGCAAUGCAACCUGAGCCCAGCCACAUGCACCAUGUAGGACCUUCUUGCAGCAACACCAGAAGCACUCCAAGUGGCCAGAUACUGGUCAAAGGACAUUUAAUCAACUACCAAACUCACACAUUUUGUAUUUUCUCUGUUUGUUUGCUUUGUUCUGUUAGAAAUGUAAUAUAAUUGACUGGCUGCCCUGACACGAGAAAUAAAUAAAUAAAGCUGCAGUACAUUUUAUCACC
Molecule: long non-coding RNA, 757 nt
Organism: Anolis sagrei ordinatus
Lineage: Eukaryota; Metazoa; Chordata; Lepidosauria; Squamata; Anolidae
Source: RefSeq, a predicted model, not a curated record